Molecule: ribosomal RNA, 500 nt
Filed under: uncultured Alphaproteobacteria bacterium
Lineage: Bacteria; Pseudomonadati; Pseudomonadota; Alphaproteobacteria
Description: bacterial SSU rRNA
Rfam family: Bacterial small subunit ribosomal RNA
Source: RNAcentral
UUGCGGGGUGAGUGGCGCACGGGUGCGUAACGCGUGGGAACCUGCCCUUUGGUUUGGAAUAACGGUUGGAAACGACUGCUAAUACCAAAUAAUGUCUUCGGACCAAAGAUUUAUCGCCAUUGGAUGGGCCCGCGUUGGAUUAGCUAGUUGGUGGGGUAAAGGCCUACCAAGGCGACGAUCCAUAGCUGGUCUUAGUAGGAUGAUCAGCCACACUGGGACUGAGACACGGCCCAGACUCCUACGGGAGGCAGCAGUGGGGAAUAUUGGACAAUGGGCGAAAGCCUGAUCCAGCAAUGCCGCGUGAGUGAUGAAGGCCUUAGGGUUGUAAAGCUCUUUUACCAGGGUUGAUAAUGACAGUACCUGGAGAAUAAGCUCCGGCUAACUCCGUGCCAGCAGCCGCGGUAAUACGGAGGGAGCUAGCGUUGUUCGGAAAUACUGGGCGUAAAGCGCACGUAGGCGGCGUCGUAAGUUAGGGGUGAAAUCCCGGGGCUCAACCCCGG